This 372-nucleotide ribosomal RNA is filed under the name uncultured organism. RNAcentral describes it as "partial 16S ribosomal RNA". It matches the Rfam family "Bacterial small subunit ribosomal RNA", at positions 527 to 896 of the family's 1533-position model. The record is from RNAcentral.
GUAGGUGGCAAGCGCUGUCCGGAAUUAUUGGGCGUAAAGCGCGCGCAGGCGGUCCUUUAAGUCUGAUGUGAAAGCCCACGGCUCAACCGUGGAGGGUCAUUGGAAACUGGGGGACUUGAGUACAGAAGAGGAAAGCGGAAUUCCAAGUGUAGCGGUGAAAUGCGUAGAGAUUUGGAGGAACACCAGUGGCGAAGGCGGCUUUCUGGUCUGUAACUGACGCUGAGGCGCGAAAGCGUGGGGAGCAAACAGGGAUUAGAUACCCUGGUAGUCCACGCCGUAAACGAUGAGUGCUAAGUGUUAGGGGGUUUCCGCCCCCUUAGUGCUGCAGCUAACGCAUUAAGCACUCCGCCUGGGGAUACGGCCGCAAGGCUG